AGUCCACGCCGUAAACGAUGAGUGCUAAGGGUUGGAGGGUUUCCGCCCUUCAGUGCUGCAGCUAACGCAUUAAGCACUCCGCCUGGGGAGUACGACCGCAAGGUUGAAACUCAAAGGAAUUGACGGGGGCCCGCACAAGCGGUGGAGCAUGUGGUUUAAUUCGAAGCAACGCGAAGAACCUUACCAGGUCUUGACAUCCUUUGACCACUCUAGAGAUAGAGCUUCCCCUUCGGGGGCAAAGUGACAGGUGGUGCAUGGUUGUCGUCAGCUCGUGUCGUGAGAUGUUGGGUUAAGUCCCGCAACGAGCGCAACCCUUAUUGUUAGUUGCCAUCAUUCAGUUGGGCACUCUAGCAAGACUGCCGGUGACAAACCGGAGGAAGGUGGGGAUGACGUCAAAUCAUCAUGCCCCUUAUGACCUGGGCUACACACGUGCUACAAUGGGAAGUACAACGAGUUGCGAAGUCGCGAGGCUAAGCUAAUCUCUUAAAGCUUCUCUCAGUUCGGAUUGCAGGCUGCAACUCGCCUGCAUGAAGCCGGAAUCGCUAGUAAUCGCGGAUCAGCACGCCGCGGUGAAUACGUUCCCGGGCCUUGUACACACCGCCCGUCACACCACGAGAGUUUGUAACACCCGAAGUCGGUGAGGUAACCUUUU
Molecule: ribosomal RNA, 652 nt
Filed under: Enterococcus faecium ERV26
Lineage: Bacteria; Bacillati; Bacillota; Bacilli; Lactobacillales; Enterococcaceae
Description: bacterial SSU rRNA
Rfam family: Bacterial small subunit ribosomal RNA
Source: RNAcentral